RNAcentral lists this ribosomal RNA (253 nucleotides) under uncultured bacterium. RNAcentral describes it as "partial 16S ribosomal RNA". It matches the Rfam family "Bacterial small subunit ribosomal RNA", at positions 524 to 776 of the family's 1533-position model. The record is from RNAcentral.
UACGUAGGGUGCGAGCGUUAAUCGGAAUUACUGGGCGUAAAGCGUGCGCAGGCGGUGAUGUAAGACAGAUGUGAAAGCCCCGGGCUUAACCUGGGAACUGCGUUUGAAACUGGGAGACUUGAGUGUGGCAGAGGGGGGUGGAAUUCCACGUGUAGCAGUGAAAUGCGUAGAUAUGUGGAGGAACACCGAUGGCGAAGGCAGCCCCCUGGGUUAACACUGACGCUCAUGCACGAAAGCGUGGGGAGCAAACAGG